GCCAGGCAUCGUGGUGCAUGCCUGUAAUCCCAGCGACUUGGGAAACUGAGACAGGAGGAUCGCGAGUUCAAAGGCAGCCUCAGCAAAAGUGAGGCACUAAGCAACUCAGUGAGACCCUGUCUCUA
Molecule: small RNA, 125 nt
Filed under: Marmota monax (woodchuck)
Lineage: Eukaryota; Metazoa; Chordata; Mammalia; Rodentia; Sciuridae
Source: RNAcentral